CACCGCGGUUAAACGAGAGGCCCUAGUUGAUAUUAUUACGGCGUAAAGGGUGGUUAAGGAUAAAAGAUUAAUAAAGCCAAAUGGCCCUUUGGCCGUCAUACGCUUCUAGGUGUCCGAAGUCCAACCCCACGAAAGUAGCUUUAAUAAAACCCACCUGACCCCACGAAAGCUGAGAAA
RNAcentral lists this ribosomal RNA (177 nucleotides) under Pseudogobio esocinus. Its description in RNAcentral is "partial 12S rRNA". Lineage: Eukaryota; Metazoa; Chordata; Actinopteri; Cypriniformes; Gobionidae. The record is from RNAcentral.